GGGUGUGUAGCUCAGUGGUAGAGCGGCUGACUGCAGAUCAGCAGGUCCUUAGCUUCCGAUGGUAACCUCCGAUCCGGCCGAACCCU
This is a non-coding RNA of Perkinsus olseni, 86 nucleotides long. NCBI's taxonomy places the organism in Eukaryota, Perkinsozoa, Perkinsida, Perkinsidae. The record is from the annotation of a GenBank genome assembly.